This 190-nucleotide ribosomal RNA is filed under the name Listeria monocytogenes. RNAcentral's name for it is "partial 16S ribosomal RNA". It matches the Rfam family "Bacterial small subunit ribosomal RNA", at positions 1 to 182 of the family's 1533-position model. Lineage: Bacteria; Bacillati; Bacillota; Bacilli; Caryophanales; Listeriaceae. The record is from RNAcentral.
UAUUUUAAAGAGAGUUUGAUCCUGGCUCAGGACGAACGCUGGCGGCGUGCCUAAUACAUGCAAGUCGAACGAACGGAGGAAGAGCUUGCUCUUCCAAAGUUAGUGGCGGACGGGUGAGUAACACGUGGGCAACCUGCCUGUAAGUUGGGGAUAACUCCGGGAAACCGGGGCUAAUACCGAAUGAUAAAGU